RNAcentral lists this unclassified non-coding RNA (1301 nucleotides) under Hevea brasiliensis (rubber tree). The record is from RNAcentral. Lineage: Eukaryota; Viridiplantae; Streptophyta; Magnoliopsida; Malpighiales; Euphorbiaceae.
UUUUUCUCUGAGCUUAAAGAAAAUUGAGAUUUAAGAAAUAAAAUAAAGUAAGACUUAUUCUUAUCCUCAGUUAAUUCACUCUCCGUUCCAAACAUGGUAAAUAACUUACUUAACCAUCCUUACACUUAUCCAACCAAACCCUUAGUCUACCUCCACCUAUUCCUGCCAGAUCCUAAAUCCAUUACAUUACUAAGCACUUGUGCCAAAUUCGAAACUAAGAUAACAUAAUUAACUUCUUAAUCCUUCUGAUUUUUUUUUGUUCUAACCCAAAAAAUGGAUUAAAAUAUUUAAAUUGUUGUUAUUAGAAUAGCCCAAUUUCAUUUAACCUAUCAACGCCUCCCUAGCUUACAAACCUCAAAUACAGAAAUUUUUUUCCCCACCUUGAAACUCUAAAAAGGGGGAAAAAUAAAGGGUGUCUCAAUUAAUGAGGCAAACAAAAAGAAAAAAUGCCCUUGGGCACAUUCCAAUCCAGGGCUUAUCACAAUCCACUGAACUAAAAUUUGGUUCUGGCUCUUCAUAACCUUAAUAGACCUCUUGCCUUGAAAAUCCUCCUAUCACAAGUUUUUGAAAGCAGACUCAUGUUGACGUUUCUUUGGAGUCAAUCUAGCCAGCAAUGCUUUGUUAUGACAAUGCUCUGUGUCAACAAAGUAGAAAUUCCCAUUGGCCUUAAAUGUCACGAAAGGCCUAUUAGUCUCUGGUGGCCGAAUAUCAGCAAACUUAAUAGUCUUCGGAAUGUAUGUCGCUAACCAGGACAUCAUCUCCACCUCAAAACUGUCUGAGCCAGGAUGCCAUCUAAGCUUGUGAAUAUAGGGGCUAACGAACCAAUGAAGGGCAGCAGUUGUUGAGGCACUCAAGAAUAUCACUGAAGACGCAACUGCACCCUUCAAGAUGACGUUCAUAUCUGGAGAUGUCAUAAAGGUUAUGACAGGACCCAAGGAUACAGAGAGACAGCAUGUUGAAAGAGACAAUAGUUUUACUUUCUUGAUGGUCGAUGAGAUCGGACCAUAAUAAACCACCCCAGUCUCUUUCUCAUCCUCUCCAGCUUCUUUCCCAUUGCGUGGUCCAAUGCUGAUCCUACUUUCAUCUUCUGUUGUCCUAGCUUGAGAUGCCCAUCUUUUCUGAGAAGCCGCAAUCUGGAUAGGACUACUAAAGUCACGUUUGGCACUCCAAAUGUGAGACCUUGUGCCAAACCUACAAGGAUGGUAGCCUGAGAAGACGGUACUUGUGGAUGCGAGGGUUUUGGUUUGAGAUCGAAGCAAGUGGAGAAGGGCCGCUCUAGCCAUUGCUCUUUUCAGUUUCAG